Molecule: unclassified non-coding RNA, 345 nt
Filed under: Hevea brasiliensis (rubber tree)
Lineage: Eukaryota; Viridiplantae; Streptophyta; Magnoliopsida; Malpighiales; Euphorbiaceae
Source: RNAcentral
AUGAAUUUCCAACCUGCUCGUUAAUUGAAUUUCCAAGCCCUUUUUGUUUGUGGAUGUGCUUAUUCAAUGUUCUAAUCAGGCAGCAACUAUUGAAGAACUUGCGCAUGUUAAGCUUCUAGCAACUUUUAAUAUCAGAAUUGUUAUCAACUAUACACUCAUGCAUCCACACAGCAAAAUAGCCACCAACAAAACAAUAGUUCCUAAUGCCUCAGAGUGUCGUAUUAGCAAGCAAGGCAACACCAUAUCAAAGACAAAAAUGCAGAUCAUAGUUCCCACCCCCAAUUCACGAAGACACAAACAAAACAUUCAUACUACAGAAACCAAAUUGCAAAGUCACAAUCUCCA